RNAcentral lists this transfer RNA (92 nucleotides) under Mycoplasma mycoides subsp. capri str. GM12. Its description in RNAcentral is "tRNA-Ser". It matches the Rfam family "tRNA". From Rfam's summary of the family: Transfer RNA (tRNA) molecules are approximately 80 nucleotides in length. Lineage: Bacteria; Bacillati; Mycoplasmatota; Mollicutes; Mycoplasmatales; Mycoplasmataceae. The record is from RNAcentral.
UGGGUUAAUACUCAAGUUGGUGAAGAGGACACCCUGCUAAGGUGUUAGGUCGGUCUCCGGCGCGAGGGUUCGAGUCCCUCUUAACCCGCCAU